Molecule: non-coding RNA, 248 nt
Organism: Oryzias latipes (Japanese medaka)
Lineage: Eukaryota; Metazoa; Chordata; Actinopteri; Beloniformes; Adrianichthyidae
Source: RefSeq, a predicted model, not a curated record
AGGGGACAUCCUGGACAGGUCACCAGUCUGUCGCAAGGUGGUCUGUCAUAUCUGGGCCUUCAGACCGGAUGGCACAAGUUGUGUGUGUUGAUCACUGUGGCAUCUGGGUUUUCAACGUGGAUGUGUUGGAGGUGAUAGGGGCAUAAAGGAUGAGGGCGGGAAGCAGAGCUGGCUGUGAAAGACGGGAUUGGUCGUUAUUAUUCUGAUGACUGACAGGUUAUCAAUCAUGCUGCACUUUUAAUAAAAGC